ACUCCUACGGGAGGCAGCAGUGGGGAAUAUUGCACAAUGGGGGAAACCCUGAUGCAGCCAUGCCGCGUGUGUGAAGAAGGCCUUCGGGUUGUAAAGCACUUUCAGUGGGGAGGAAAGGUUGAUGGUUAAUACCUAUCAGCUGUGACGUUACCCACAGAAGAAGCCCCGGCUAACUACGUGCCAGCAGCCGCGGUAACACGUAGGGGCAAGGCGUGUCCGGAUUAUUGGCGUAAAGAGCUCGUAGGUGGCUGAGUAAGUCGGAUGUUAAAUCUCCAGGCUCAACCUGGAACACCACCCGAUACUGCUCUGGCUAGAGUCCGGUAGGGGAGUGUGGAAUUCCUGGUGUAGCGGUGAAAUGCGCAGAUAUCAGGAGGAACACCAGCGGCGAAGGCGGCACUCUGGGCCGGUACUGACACUGAGGAGCGAAAGCAUGGGUAGCAAACAGGAUUAGAUACCCUGGUAGGCGUAGU
This 470-nucleotide ribosomal RNA is filed under the name uncultured bacterium. RNAcentral's name for it is "bacterial SSU rRNA". It matches the Rfam family "Bacterial small subunit ribosomal RNA", at positions 335 to 803 of the family's 1533-position model. The record is from RNAcentral.